CCUACGGGAGGCAGCAGUGGGGAAUAUUGGGCAAUGGGCGCAAGCCUGACCCAGCAACGCCGCGUGAAGGAAGAAGGCUUUCGGGUUGUAAACUUCUUUUCUCAGGGACGAAGCAAGUGACGGUACCUGAGGAAUAAGCCACGGCUAACUACGUGCCAGCAGCCGCGGUAAUACGUAGGUGGCAAGCGUUAUCCGGAUUUACUGGGUGUAAAGGGCGUGUAGGCGGGACUGCAAGUCAGAUGUGAAAACCAUGGGCUCAACCUGUGGCCUGCAUUUGAAACUGUAGUUCUUGAGUACUGGAGAGGCAGACGGAAUUCCUAGGGUAGCGGUGAAAUGCGUAGAUAUUAGGAGGAACACCAGUGGCGAAGGCGGCUUACUGGACUGUAACUGACGUUGAGGCUCGAAAGCGUGGGGAGCAAACAGGAUUAGAUACCCUUGUAGUC
This 443-nucleotide ribosomal RNA is filed under the name uncultured bacterium. RNAcentral describes it as "partial 16S ribosomal RNA". It matches the Rfam family "Bacterial small subunit ribosomal RNA", at positions 338 to 795 of the family's 1533-position model. The record is from RNAcentral.